CCUACGGGGGGCUGCAGUGGGGAAUAUUGGACAAUGGGGGGAACCCUGAUCCAGCCAUGCCGCGUGUGUGAAGAAGGCCCUCGGGUUGUAAAGCACUUUCAGUGAGGAAGAACGCCUGGUGGUUAAUACCCAUCAGGAAAGACAUCACUCACAGAAGAAGCACCGGCUAACUCCGUGCCAGCAGCCGCGGUAAUACGGAGGGUGCGAGUGUUAAUCGGAAUUACUGGGCGUAAAGCGCGCGUAGGUGGCUUGAUAAGCCGGUUGUGAAAGCCCCGGGCUCAACCUGGGAACGGCAUCCGGAACUGUCAAGCUAGAGUGCAGGAGAGGAAGGUAGAAUUCCCGGUGUAGCGGUGAAAUGCGUAGAGAUCGGGAGGAAUACCAGUGGCGAAGGCGGCCUUCUGGACUGACACUGACACUGAGGUGCGAAAGCGUGGGUAGCAAACAGGAUUAGAUACCCCGGUAGUC
This 465-nucleotide ribosomal RNA is filed under the name Vreelandella stevensii. RNAcentral describes it as "partial 16S ribosomal RNA". It matches the Rfam family "Bacterial small subunit ribosomal RNA", at positions 338 to 795 of the family's 1533-position model. The record is from RNAcentral. Lineage: Bacteria; Pseudomonadati; Pseudomonadota; Gammaproteobacteria; Oceanospirillales; Halomonadaceae.